RNAcentral lists this ribosomal RNA (349 nucleotides) under uncultured bacterium. RNAcentral describes it as "bacterial SSU rRNA". It matches the Rfam family "Bacterial small subunit ribosomal RNA", at positions 8 to 350 of the family's 1533-position model. The record is from RNAcentral.
AGAGUUUGAUCAUGGCUCAGAUUGAACGCUGGCGGCGUGCUUAACACAUGCAAGUCGUACGCGAAAGGGACUUCGGUCCCGAGUAAAGUGGCGCACGGGUGAGUAACACGUGGAUAAUCUGCCUCUAUGAUGGGGAUAACAGUUGGAAACGACUGCUAAUACCGAAUACGCUCAUGAUGAACUUUGUGAGGAAAGUGGCCUCUGCUUGCAAGCUAUCGCAUAGAGAUGAGUCCGCGUCCAUUAGCUAGUUGGUGGGUAACGGCCUACCAAGGCAACGAUGGGUAGCCGAUCUGAGAGGAUGAUCGGCCACGACUGGAACUGAAACACGGUCCAGACUCCUACGGAGGCA